UGGGGAAUCUUGCACAAUGGGCGAAAGCCUGAUGCAGCGACGCCGCGUGGGGGAUGAAGCUUUUCGGAGUGUAAACCCCUUUCGACCCGGACGAAUGUCCCGCAAGGGAACUGACGGUACGGGUAUAAGAAGCCCCGGCUAACUACGUGCCAGCAGCCGCGGUAAGACGUGGGGGGCCAGCGUUGCUCGGAAUUACUGGGUGUAAAGGGUUCGUAGGCGGUGUAGCAAGUCGGGAGUGAAAUCUCUGGGCUCAACCCAGAGACUGCUUCCGAAACUGCUGUGCUUGAGUGUGGGAGAGGCGCGUGGAAUUGCAGGUGUAGCGGUGAAAUGCGUAGAUAUCUGCAGGAACACCCGUGGCGAAAGCGGCGCGCUGGACCACUACUGACGCUGAGGAACGAAAGCUAGGGGAGCAAACAGGAUUAGAUACCCUGGUAGUCCUAGCCCUAAACGAUCAGGACUUGGGGUGCCGCACGUUCGUGCGUCGUCCCGGAGCUAACGCGUUAAGUCCUGCACCUGGGGAGUACGGUCGCAAGAC
Molecule: ribosomal RNA, 535 nt
Filed under: uncultured bacterium
Lineage: Bacteria
Description: bacterial SSU rRNA
Rfam family: Bacterial small subunit ribosomal RNA
Source: RNAcentral